Molecule: transfer-messenger RNA, 353 nt
Rfam family: transfer-messenger RNA
About the family: Bacterial tmRNA, also known as 10Sa RNA or SsrA, is named for its dual tRNA and mRNA-like properties. Its role is to liberate the mRNA from a stalled ribosome.
GGGGCUGAGAUAGGUUCGACGGGAAGAUCCGCGGUCAACGGAAGCAGGCGGAGUUGCGAGCUCUCCUAAAACGAUCGCAAGCGUUUUACACGCAAACAAUCAAUACGCACUAGCUGCCUAAUCUAGGUUAGCUACGGGGAGCGAGAGGUCGCCCGAAUCACCUCGCCGACCGUCAUGAACUCGGGCUGGUACGAACGCGUGAUUCGACGUUCGUAUGAGAUCAAGGAUCUGCUGCGAACGGUAAUCCCCGCUUUGAGGAGUACGUUCGAGUAAGCAAAAGUCGAAGCUGAGCCUGGAGAAACUGUUGGUCCGGCUUUUCGGACUCGGGGGGCAGUACCCCGACAGCUCCACCA